RNAcentral lists this ribosomal RNA (482 nucleotides) under uncultured bacterium. Its description in RNAcentral is "partial 16S ribosomal RNA". It matches the Rfam family "Bacterial small subunit ribosomal RNA", at positions 30 to 507 of the family's 1533-position model. The record is from RNAcentral.
AUUGAACGCUGGCGGCAUGCUUUACACAUGCAAGUCGAACGGUAACAGGCCGCAAGGUGCUGACGAGUGGCGAACGGGUGAGUAAUGCAUCGGAACGUGCCCAGUCGUUGGGGAUAACUACUCGAAAGAGUAGCUAAUACCGCAUACGAUCUAUGGAUGAAAGCGGGGGACCGUAAGGCCUCGCGCGAUUGGAGCGGCCGAUGUCAGAUUAGGUAGUUGGUGGGGUAAAGGCUCACCAAGCCAACGAUCUGUAGCUGGUCUGAGAGGACGACCAGCCACACUGGGACUGAGACACGGCCCAGACUCCUACGGGAGGCAGCAGUGGGGAAUUUUGGACAAUGGGCGAAAGCCUGAUCCAGCAAUGCCGCGUGCAGGAAGAAGGCCUUCGGGUUGUAAACUGCUUUUGUACGGAACGAAACGGCUCUGGUUAAUACCCGGGGCUAAUGACGGUACCGUAAGAAUAAGCACCGGCUAACUACGUG